RNAcentral lists this unclassified non-coding RNA (273 nucleotides) under uncultured Glomus. Its description in RNAcentral is "sequence contains 18S rRNA gene". It matches the Rfam family "Eukaryotic small subunit ribosomal RNA", at positions 569 to 850 of the family's 1831-position model. Lineage: Eukaryota; Fungi; Glomeromycota; Glomeromycetes; Glomerales; Glomeraceae. The record is from RNAcentral.
AGCAGCCGCGGUAAUUCCAGCUCCAAUAGCGUAUAUUAAAGUUGUUGCAGUUAAAAGCUCGUAGUUGAAUUUCGGGAUCAAUACGUCGGUCGUGCUUCGGUACGUACUGGCGUAAUUGAUUUCUCCCUUCUGACGAACCAUGAUGUCAUUAACUUGGUGUCAUGGGAAAUCAGGACUGUUACUUUGAAAAAUUAGAGUGUUUAAAGCAGGCUCACGCUUGAAUACAUUAGCAUGGAAUAAUGAAAUAGGACGUUCGAUCCUAUUUUGUUGGUU